This 143-nucleotide ribosomal RNA is filed under the name Vairimorpha ceranae. RNAcentral describes it as "Nosema ceranae partial small subunit ribosomal RNA". It matches the Rfam family "Microsporidia small subunit ribosomal RNA", at positions 363 to 507 of the family's 1311-position model. Lineage: Eukaryota; Fungi; Microsporidia; Nosematidae. The record is from RNAcentral.
AAGGUGAUUAAUUGGAGGGCAAAUCAGUGCCAGCAGCCGCGGUAAUACUUGUUCAAGAGAGUGUAUGAUGAUUGAUGCAGUUAAAAAGUCCGUAGUUUAUUUUUUUAAACAAAAGGGACGAAUGGAAAAAUAAAGGACAACAA